GUGGGGAAUUUUGGACAAUGGGCGCAAGCCUGAUCCAGCAAUGCCGCGUGCAGGAAGAAGGCCUUCGGGUUGUAAACUGCUUUUGUACGGAACGAAACGGUCCUGGCUAAUAUCCGGGGCUAAUGACGGUACCGUAAGAAUAAGCACCGGCUAACUACGUGCCAGCAGCCGCGGUAAUACGUAGGGUGCGAGCGUUAAUCGGAAUUACUGGGCGUAAAGCGUGCGCAGGCGGUGCUGUAAGACAGGCGUGAAAUCCCCGGGCUCAACCUGGGAAUUGCGCUUGUGACUGCAGUGCUGGAGUGCGGCAGAGGGGGAUGGAAUUCCGCGUGUAGCAGUGAAAUGCGUAGAUAUGCGGAGGAACACCGAUGGCGAAGGCAAUCCCCUGGGCCUGCACUGACGCUCAUGCACGAAAGCGUGGGGAGCAAACAGGAUUAGAUACCCCAGUAGUCC
Molecule: ribosomal RNA, 450 nt
Filed under: uncultured bacterium
Lineage: Bacteria
Description: bacterial SSU rRNA
Rfam family: Bacterial small subunit ribosomal RNA
Source: RNAcentral